Amblyraja radiata (thorny skate) is the source of this 91-nucleotide long non-coding RNA. RefSeq lists it as uncharacterized. NCBI's taxonomy places the organism in Eukaryota, Metazoa, Chordata, Chondrichthyes, Rajiformes, Rajidae. The record is from RefSeq and is a predicted model, not a curated record. The transcript is spliced from 3 exons.
CACAAAAAUAGACCCUCCUGGAGUAACUCAGCGGGUCAGGCAGCAUACUUAGAGAGCAUGGAAAGGUAAUUGUUUGGGUCGAGACCCUUCU